UGGACAAAUUAUUGUAUUCGACUGUAUUCAUGGCGUGAAAUAGGGGAUUACACUGUUUUUAAAACGGAAAGUGAAUCAAUUAACAUAAUAGAGUCCU
Molecule: microRNA precursor, 97 nt
Filed under: Nicotiana sylvestris (wood tobacco)
Lineage: Eukaryota; Viridiplantae; Streptophyta; Magnoliopsida; Solanales; Solanaceae
Also listed under: 1 other name
Description: MIR6152 microRNA precursor family
Rfam family: MIR6152 microRNA precursor family
Source: Rfam by way of RNAcentral